UACGUAGGGGGCAAGCGUUGUCCGGAAUCAUUGGGCGUAAAGAGCGUGUAGGCGGCCCGGUAAGUCCGCCGUGAAAGUCCAGGGCUCAACCCUGGGAUGCCGGUGGAAACUGUCGGGCUAGAGUACGGAAGAGGUAGCUGGAAUUCCCGGUGUAGUGGUGAAAUGCGUAGAUACCGGGAGGAACACCCGCAGCGAAGGCGGCCGGCUGGACCACUCCUGACGCUGAGGCGCGAAGGCCCGGGGAGCGAACGGG
Molecule: ribosomal RNA, 253 nt
Filed under: uncultured bacterium
Lineage: Bacteria
Description: partial 16S ribosomal RNA
Rfam family: Bacterial small subunit ribosomal RNA
Source: RNAcentral